GGGGGUGUCAUGGUUUCGACUGAAAAAGGUAAGAUGGCAUGGCGUGUUGGAGAUGGGUGGCUAGCUCCAUUAACAAUCCAUCCAAUGUCAUGAAAUGGCAAAAACAAAAAGGGAAAACUGGUUAAGGGGUUGUUUGGCCGCAAGGCCCGCAUGGCUGCUUGAUCGGAGAGAUUGCCAGGGAUGGCAAUCCGUCGCGUUGUUUGACGGUCCGCUAGGAUAACGCGGCGUCUGGUAGCGGGCAAGGACGUGGAAGGCGCGCUUUUUCCAUGUUUUGAUUAAGGCGCUCGUUUUGUGAAAAUUUGCCGUUGGAAUUUCAUGAAAUCAGAUGUUAAACAGCGGCUACGCACGUAGAUGUGCCAUCUGUGGGUUUUUAGGACGUGGGUUCGACUCCCACCACCUCCACCA
Molecule: transfer-messenger RNA, 405 nt
Filed under: Puniceicoccales bacterium
Lineage: Bacteria; Pseudomonadati; Verrucomicrobiota; Opitutia; Puniceicoccales
Rfam family: transfer-messenger RNA
About the family: Bacterial tmRNA, also known as 10Sa RNA or SsrA, is named for its dual tRNA and mRNA-like properties.
Source: RNAcentral